Molecule: long non-coding RNA, 2720 nt
Organism: Homo sapiens (human)
Lineage: Eukaryota; Metazoa; Chordata; Mammalia; Primates; Hominidae
Source: Ensembl
AGUACUCAAAUGGGAAGGAGGAGGAUCAAGAGGGUUUUGUGAUUGACUGGGUUCAGCUGGAUUCCUGGAAGAGGUCUCUCAUUCAAUUGCAGUCAAAUUGUAGCUGAGACUACAAUAUGAAGACUCAGUUGGAUUCGGAUAGCUUAUUCACAUGGUUGAUUGUUGAUAUUGGCUAUUGACUAGUUGCUCAAAUUGGGCUGUUAACUGGAGAACCUACAAGUCUUUUCGCCAUAUGGCCAGGUUUCUUAAAGCAUGCCAGCUCGGUGCUAAAAGAGAAUUCCAAAUGCCUCAGCCGUAAGAAUCAUUAAUAACCUGAAAAUGUGGAGGUUAUCUCUCACCAUACACAAAGAGACGGGGUUUCACCGUGUUGGCCAGACUCUUCUCGAACUCCUGACAUCAGGCAAUCAGCUCGCCUCAGCCUCCCAAAGUGCUGGGAUUACAGAUAUGAGCGACCACGCCCGGCCAGAUUUAAGUUUUUAAAAGAUUAUUCUGAAGCAGUGUGGAGAAUACACUGGAGGAAACCGGGAAGUUCCAUGUGAAGGUUACUGUGAUACCCUAGGUGAGCAGCGUUGGAGAAUUGGAUGAGAACACAAGAGGAGAGACAGACAGUAAUAGAGUCAAGAAAUAUAAAGCAGAAUAAUAAAGCUUGCUGAUGGAUUGGAGAACAUUCUUAGCGUAUGACCCGGGCAUAGGGUACCGGUUAAGUUCUCCAUUCUGGAAAGAUGAGACGAAAGAUUCACUGUUGCAGAGUCUGUCUAAGGUAUGAGUGUCCCCUCUCUGGGACAGAUUCCACUGCCAUUCUUCCGACCACAAGAAGGAAACUUCAGACACCAAAGAAGAGGCACCAGUCAACUAAUUAAACGGGAGGAUUUUUUUCUAUAAAAUAUAAAAUUAUAUGAGUUUAAGUUUUCUUAGUUUCUGUUUUCUUCUACCAGUUCUAAUAGUUUAAAAGUUGUGUAUUUUAUUUAUAUUCCAGUAGUUACUCAUAAAACAUUACCUAACAUACUAAAAUUAUUGUUUCCUAUUAAUUAUAGAACAUUUUAUUGAGAUUGUCUUUGUAGAGAUGCUUUGGCAUUCUUGUCAUCGACAUUUUUAAAUCAUUUGGAAUUUAAUUGCAUAUUCUCAUUUGAAAAUACAAUUUUUGAAAUCAAUAUUUAUUUAAAAAUAUAUAUUACUAACUUUUUUGCCUUAGAGCUUCUUAGAGAGAAGUUCUCUGUAUGGUAAAUAUUCUGAGUCCUUCUAUGUCUGGACAUUUCUUUUACUCUCAUUCUUGAGUGAUCUUUAACUGAGUUGAGAAUUCUUGUUUCAGCACUUUGAAGCCACUGAUUCUUUAUCUUCCUAUAUCCAGGGAUGCUAUUAAACCAGUGGUCAGUGAGUCUUUUUUUCUUUGGGGGUGACCUGCUUUAUUUUUCCCUAAUAAUGGCAGUUUCUGAGUGUUCUCUUUUUUGUCUUAGAAAUUUAUUAUAUAUCUCUCUAUUCAGUUGUGUGAAUUUUUUGUCUAUUAUUUUCUCAAAUAGUAUCUUUUUUUAAAUCUUCCUCUUCCCAUCUUCCUAUUAAAAAUGAAGAUGAUUUGACUCUUGCCUUCUAUGUGUUCAUUUUACUCAUGUUUCUCAUCUCUUUAUCCUUUGCAUCAGGUAUGUUGAGACAUUUCUCCAGCUCAACACUGAAGCUUACAAUUUCCAAUCCACCAAAACUUUUCUUUAUAUUUUAAACUGGCUUUGCAUUGUCUUUUUGAUAGUGUUUUCUAUCAAUCCCAACAUUUGUUAAUGGGGAUAAACUGCCUCAUGUGUCAAAUCCACUGUCUUAAAUCCAGCCCCAUUGCUUUUUUCUUCUGUCUCUCAUUCUAUCAAGAUAUAACUGGAGUUGAACAGAAACAUAGAAAAAAUAGAAUAAUGUGGUUUUAUUGUUAAAAUACAAUCUGUUGUAAACUUUAUUUUACUUGUAGCAAUAUUCAGUAAGUGACUGUUACUACAGUAUGCCAGACACUGUUUUAGGCAUUUAGGAUAUACUAGUGAACAAAAGAGGAAAAAAGAAAAUAUCCUUGCCCACCUUAGGACAUUCCAAUGUCUUUUCUAGUAUUUUGCUAACACAGUUCCUGUGAUACUAAGUUUUUUAAAUAAUCUGGAGCCUGUACAAUAACACAUAUGACAAUUGCUCAUUUUUACAUACUUAUUGAUCAACAGUAUUUGCUGAAUAUUCACAUAUAAGUCACUGUGCAAUUUUUUUGUGUGUGGGGCUAUAGAGAUCCUCAAAGAAAACUAAGGGAUCUCAUCAAAAACUCAAACCUUAAUACAUCUUAAAACUAUGGUAAAAAAUAAACAGAUACUUUCAACCUACCAUUGGAUAUUUCUAGAAAUAUUUCCUGUCUGUGACUCUUACCCCAUACUCUCCGGAUCUCUGUUCUCAUGUAUUCUUCUAAUGGUGCCAUCACCAGGAGCCUGUUUUUCGUGGACCAGAGCCCUCGUCCUGACCUCUACCAUCUGGGGUUUGUUGCUUGCAUGCUUCCAGCCCACUGAAAUGUAUAUCAUCUCCUCUAAACUCUGUGUCAGCAUUCUGAUCUUGCAAAUUAUUAACUAUCUAAUGUGAUAAACUAAUCUGUACUGAUGGGAUAGGGUUACAAGGAGCAACUACUGAAUGAUUCCUAACAUUGACUUUCUAGAUUAGAUGCCCUUGUCUUUUAUAAAGUCACUCUAAGAGUGGAAAUUGAACGCAAAAUUUAA